Streptomyces longwoodensis is the source of this 72-nucleotide non-coding RNA. It matches the Rfam family "ASpks TB sRNA". The record is from Rfam. Lineage: Bacteria; Bacillati; Actinomycetota; Actinomycetes; Kitasatosporales; Streptomycetaceae.
CUUCACCGACCCCAGCCACAACGGCUCACCCUCCCGCUCCCGGCCAUAAGUCGCCAGCAACGCCUGCGCCUC